UAGUGUUGUGAUAUGUUGCUUGAAUUUGCAGUCCUGGACCCGCGAUUGACGGAGUUGCCGCCCUUGGAGGGCAUGACUGAUGAAGAAGAGAUAAAAUUGCUCACGGGCCUGCUGAACCGAAAUCCCCCCAGGUAUAGGGGUGCUGCCCGGGUUGAAGGUGAAGGGCGGUCGCAGGCAAGGCGGCGUACGCCGGCUCAAGGCCGA
Molecule: long non-coding RNA, 204 nt
Filed under: Daucus carota (carrot)
Lineage: Eukaryota; Viridiplantae; Streptophyta; Magnoliopsida; Apiales; Apiaceae
Description: long non-coding RNA (DCAR_LNC007371)
Source: RNAcentral